Molecule: long non-coding RNA, 839 nt
Organism: Capsicum annuum
Lineage: Eukaryota; Viridiplantae; Streptophyta; Magnoliopsida; Solanales; Solanaceae
Exons: 3
Source: RefSeq, a predicted model, not a curated record
UAAUAUUUAAGAAAGGUAAAGCUAGCCAGCAGCGUACAGCAAACAAAUUAACAAAGCAAAAACUUAAGGCUUUGUGGCUGCUGGGACCUUAUCUAAUAAAAAAAAGGCGAUUUAGUGAGGAAGAGAAAAUUUAGGCGAAAACAAGGGCAACAUACACUCCGGAAAAAGAAAUUCAUUGGAGUUUUGCUAUUGAAUUCGAGAUUUGAUCUAAGAAAGUGAUACGAAUCAUUCGAGGUGACAAUUUUGGUAUUCCGAAGCGUAUACUAACACAGGUGACGGUGAAGAUUUCGUUAGCUAGAGAUCUCGAGGUAGCAUAUCCCGGUAAGCCCCGCAUUUGUUCGCGUGGGCUAUAGUUUAUUUAUUUGUUAUAUUCAUCUUCUUGGAAACUCUUAGAGUUGCUCCAUAGUCAUGUCUUUAGAGUUUUUGAGUAUUCUUUCAUUAUUUUGGACUUAUGAAGUAUUGAACUUUCUCUCAUGUUUUAGAAAUGGAUGUCAUAUUAUUAUUUGGUGAUGUUGGUGAAUUGUUGAUGAUUUUGGUGUAUUGCAUUGGGUUGAUGUGUUUGUUGAGAUAUUGGGUUAUUGUGUGGUGGAUUUGAGACAGGAAAAAUUUUUGAUAGGCUCAAAAACAGGAAAAACUCUGACCGAUUUUCUGUAAAAUACUGACGAGGCUUGUUUUGAAGUUCUAACCUCCUUAGCACCGGUCAUGAUUCUAUUUUGGGUCAUAACAAUAGAAUAACUAAAAAAAUCUUUUUAGAUAUUUUACAAUACCUUAAUUUGAUUUUCUCUUCCCCCACCCCAACACACAUCCACCUUUUUUUCUUUUGCGUUAUAUAUAAUGUU